This 21-nucleotide microRNA is filed under the name Bos taurus (domestic cattle). Its description in RNAcentral is "bta-miR-2378". The record is from miRBase by way of RNAcentral. Lineage: Eukaryota; Metazoa; Chordata; Mammalia; Artiodactyla; Bovidae.
UGUGGGUUGUCUGAGCAAGGG